This is a ribosomal RNA of Vigna angularis (adzuki bean), 193 nucleotides long. It matches the Rfam family "Eukaryotic large subunit ribosomal RNA", at positions 2136 to 2328 of the family's 3401-position model. Lineage: Eukaryota; Viridiplantae; Streptophyta; Magnoliopsida; Fabales; Fabaceae. The record is from Rfam.
GACUGUUUAAUUAAAAAAAAAACAUUGCGAUGGUCCCUACGGAUAUUGACACAAUGUGAUUUCUGUCCAGUGCUCUAAAUAUCAAAGUGAAGAAAUUCAACCAAGCGCGGGUAAAUGGCGGGAGUAACUAUGACUCUCUUAAGGUAGCCAAAUGCCUCGUCAUCUAAUUAGUGACGCACAUGAAUGGAUUGAC